UUUAUUGGAGAGUUUGAUCCUGGCUCAGGAUGAACGCUGGCGGCGUGCCUAAUACAUGCAAGUCGAGCGAAUGGAUUAAGAGCUUGCUCUUAUGAAG
RNAcentral lists this ribosomal RNA (97 nucleotides) under Bacillus sp. TE8-1. RNAcentral describes it as "partial 16S ribosomal RNA". It matches the Rfam family "Bacterial small subunit ribosomal RNA", at positions 1 to 95 of the family's 1533-position model. Lineage: Bacteria; Bacillati; Bacillota; Bacilli; Caryophanales; Bacillaceae. The record is from RNAcentral.